Molecule: ribosomal RNA, 481 nt
Filed under: uncultured bacterium
Lineage: Bacteria
Description: partial 16S ribosomal RNA
Rfam family: Bacterial small subunit ribosomal RNA
Source: RNAcentral
GAUGAACGCUGGCGGCGUGCUUAACACAUGCGAGUCGAACGAAGCAUUUAGGACAGAUUACUUCGGUUUGAAGUUCUUUAUGACUGAGUGGCGGACGGGUGAGUAACGCGUGGGUAACCUGCCUUGUACUGGGGGAUAGCAGCUGGAAACGGCUGGUAAUACCGCAUAAGCGCACAAUGUUGCAUGACAUGGUGUGAAAAACUCCGGUGGUAUAAGAUGGACCCGCGUCUGAUUAGCUAGUUGGUGAGAUAACAGCCCACCAAGGCGACGAUCAGUAGCCGACCUGAGAGGGUGACCGGCCACAUUGGGACUGAGACACGGCCCAGACUCCUACGGGAGGCAGCAGUGGGGAAUAUUGCACAAUGGAGGAAACUCUGAUGCAGCGACGCCGCGUGAGUGAAGAAGUAAUUCGUUAUGUAAAGCUCUAUCAGCAGGGAAGAUAGUGACGGUACCUGACGAAGAAGCGCCGGCUAAAUACGUG